Molecule: long non-coding RNA, 490 nt
Filed under: Felis catus (domestic cat)
Lineage: Eukaryota; Metazoa; Chordata; Mammalia; Carnivora; Felidae
Description: lncRNA (ENSFCAG00000049767.1)
Source: RNAcentral
GUCUGGGGGGGGGGGGCUUGACAGAGCUCUCCCACCCCAGCCCGGCCCCUGUCCCAGCCUCGCCUUGGUCUGGGAACUGCUCAGCCAGUGUGACCAGACAGACCCCACCUGGACGCCAGGCCCUGCCCAUGUCUGAGCCACCGUCUUGUUUCUGUCUCAGUCCCAGACUCAGCAGCAACCUCGGGCCCAGGCACUGCCUCCCAGGGGAACCACUCAGUCCCUCCACACAGUUUUCUUCUCCAAAUAUUGUCCCCUUUGUCCUUCUAUCCAUCUCUGAAAGUGCAUGAGGAAGACCCGACGCCCCCAAAUGUCCUCACCCUCACAUCAGGGACGUCUGGGGGAGCAGCGGGGCUCUGGCAGACUGCUUAUUCCGGGAAUGAAAGUUUGGAGGUCCAGCAGUGGGCACCAAGGGUGUGGGUUGUCCUGGGGAUCAAUCAGGGUGCUUUCUUGCAAGUGACAGAAACGGACCGGCUGAGUAAAGAAGAGGGAU